This 475-nucleotide ribosomal RNA is filed under the name uncultured bacterium. RNAcentral describes it as "partial 16S ribosomal RNA". It matches the Rfam family "Bacterial small subunit ribosomal RNA", at positions 28 to 507 of the family's 1533-position model. The record is from RNAcentral.
GAUGAACGCUGGCGGCGUGCUUAACACAUGCAAGUCGAACGAUGAACCUCACUUGUGGGGGGAUUAGUGGCGAACGGGUGAGUAACACGUGAGUAACCUGCCCUUGACUCUGGGAUAAGCCUGGGAAACCGGGUCUAAUACUGGAUACGACCUUCUGGCGCAUGCCAUGUUGGUGGAAAGCUUUUGUGGUUUUGGAUGGACUCGCGGCCUAUCAGCUUGUUGGUGGGGUAAUGGCCUACCAAGGCGACGACGGGUAGCCGGCCUGAGAGGGUGACCGGCCACACUGGGACUGAGACACGGCCCAGACUCCUACGGGAGGCAGCAGUGGGGAAUAUUGCACAAUGGGCGCAGGCCUGAUGCAGCGACGCCGCGUGAGGGAUGAAGGCCUUCGGGUUGUAAACCUCUUUCAGUAGGGAAGAAGCCGGCUUUUGGGUUGGUGACGGUACCUGCAGAAGAAGCGCCGGCUAACUACGUG